ACUGCUAUACGUUGUUUACAGCGUGGAAUAAUAGCGAGGAUAUCAUAUUGAACCAUUCACACAUUGUUGACAUGAAGGUUAACGUCGCCCUGGGCUAAUAGCUAGACUGAUUAAUGGCAACAGUGGGGGUUGGCUCGGUGCCAUGUGAGUUGUAUUUCAGUGUACGCUUGAUCUCAUGGUCGUCUUCUCGUCAUCUUGAGCCGAGUCAGAAAAGCAGUUCUAUAAUUCUGGACGGAUUUCCUCGCUGCAUCGCAGCCAGGUGGCGUAGAAGGUUGUACUCAGCUCCUGUUCGAGAAAAAGC
This 301-nucleotide small RNA is filed under the name Histoplasma capsulatum. Its description in RNAcentral is "hypothetical RNA". Lineage: Eukaryota; Fungi; Ascomycota; Eurotiomycetes; Onygenales; Ajellomycetaceae. The record is from RNAcentral. RNAcentral also lists the same sequence under 1 other name.